RNAcentral lists this small RNA (126 nucleotides) under Marinobacter excellens HL-55. Its description in RNAcentral is "PrrF RNA". The record is from RNAcentral. Lineage: Bacteria; Pseudomonadati; Pseudomonadota; Gammaproteobacteria; Pseudomonadales; Marinobacteraceae.
UUGACAGACGCAAAUGAUAACAAUUAUCAUUGCAUCACCAAAUGACGAAAGGUCGUUUCAUUUGGUCUCUCUCAUCAGGAGCUAUAAGCUCUUUUUCAGCCCCGCCAUUGUGCGGGGCUUUUUUUG